Molecule: long non-coding RNA, 577 nt
Filed under: Bos taurus (domestic cattle)
Lineage: Eukaryota; Metazoa; Chordata; Mammalia; Artiodactyla; Bovidae
Description: long non-coding RNA NONBTAT016484
Source: RNAcentral
UUUGAACAUGUCAAUAUAUUUCCUGGUUUCAAAAAAUGGGAAUAAACUAAGAAUAGGUGGGAAUGGCACAAAACUAUUUCAGGAAUGAGAACGUGGAUCAGUACAGGGGGUAGGGGUGGAGAGGGCAUCAUAACUGUGCAAUAGCCACAUUCCAGGAUUUUGUACAGCUUGUUUAUUUUCUUCUUUGACUCAGCAUCUGUACAUACACGUUGAGAAGUCAUAACACACUUGAUAUUAGAACUUGAGCCUAAAGUCUCAGCAUCAAUUUUUUAUAGCUCAAAGAGGAAUCUAGACAAUUCCUAUGUAUUUUCUAACUUAUUCUCUAGGUGUUCCAUCCUUACCCUUUGCAAUAUGAUUAUAAUAAACUAUCACAUGAUGAGGCAGGCCAACAAAUAUCUACCAAAGGAUUUUUGUGCCCAGAACAUCUACCAUCUGCCACAUUGUUAAUGAAAAGAACUGAGGAACUGAUAUGUUUAGAGAUGUUCAGAAAAAGCAAGCACCUCACUCCCAAGAAAAUGUUUUUCCAAAUUUAAAGUUGGUGCAAAAGCUUUAAGUAGCACGUUUGAGCUAAAGAGCC